This is a long non-coding RNA of Cyprinus carpio (common carp), 626 nucleotides long. Lineage: Eukaryota; Metazoa; Chordata; Actinopteri; Cypriniformes; Cyprinidae. The record is from Ensembl.
AUGUUCAUUACUGUGAUAUUAGGUGAGACUGUGGACUUGAUGGACAGGACGGGAGAGCUGGUGAACUUGGCUGAGAGAGAGCAGAGCACCGACCUCGUCAGCAGUUUGCUGAAGGAGAGAGAGAGCUAUAUUCCAUUACGUGUAUCACGAGGUGAAGGCAGUGAAGGUCCAAAGUAUACUGCAGUGUAUGACUUUGGGACAAGUUACCCUGAGCUAGCAGAGAUUCUGAGAAAACUGUCAAAUCCUUCAAAGGAGCGGGACAAAAGGGGUGGAGCAUCUAAAAGGGGAGGAGUCAGUCAACACCGCAUCAAAGCUGCCAUCAACUUUAAGAAAGCCAUCACAACACCUCGGAGCUGAAAACACUCUCUUACUAUUUCCUUGUGUUCUUUAACAAUUUUAUAAAUAUUUUAGAAUUGGUUAUAUCAUAUAUAUCAAUGUGAAGAAUAUUUUUUGUUUGUGUAUAUACACAACCAUUCAAAAGUUUGGGGUCACUAUGAUUGAAAAAAAAAAGAAAUUAAUAAUUUUAUUCAGCAACAAUGUAUUAAAUUGAUCAAGAGAGAUAUUUAUAAUGUUACAAAAUAAUUAUAUUUUAAAUAAAUUCAGUUUUGUAAACUUUCUAUUAAUCA